UGGGGAAUUCUGCGCAAUGGGGGAAACCCUGACGCAGCAACGCCGCGUGAGUGAUGAAGGCCUUCGGGUCGUAAAGCUCUGUCUGAGGGGAAGAAAUGCAGGGGUGCUAAUAUCAUCUUUGCUUGACGGUACCCUCAAAGGAAGCACCGGCUAACUCCGUGCCAGCAGCCGCGGUAAUACGGAGGGUGCGAGCGUUGUUCGGAAUUAUUGGGCGUAAAGCGCGUGUAGGCGGUUUGAUAAGUCUGAUGUGAAAGCCCCGGGCUCAACCUGGGAAGUGCAUUGGAAACUGUCAGACUUGAAUACGGGAGAGGGUAGUGGAAUUCCUAGUGUAGGAGUGAAAUCCGUAGAUAUUAGGAGGAACACCGGUGGCGAAGGCGGCUACCUGGACCGAUAUUGACGCUGAGACGCGAAAGCGUGGGGAGCAAACAG
This 429-nucleotide ribosomal RNA is filed under the name uncultured bacterium. Its description in RNAcentral is "bacterial SSU rRNA". It matches the Rfam family "Bacterial small subunit ribosomal RNA", at positions 355 to 775 of the family's 1533-position model. The record is from RNAcentral.